RNAcentral lists this ribosomal RNA (408 nucleotides) under uncultured bacterium. Its description in RNAcentral is "partial 16S ribosomal RNA". It matches the Rfam family "Bacterial small subunit ribosomal RNA", at positions 28 to 526 of the family's 1533-position model. The record is from RNAcentral.
GACGAACGCUGGCGGCGUGCUUAACACAUGCAAGUCGAACGAAGUGGCGCACGGGUGAGUAACGCGUAAUCCACCUGCCCUUCAGAGGGGGACAACAGUUGGAAACGACUGCUAAUACCGCAUAGUGAAGGAGGGGAUUGCGUCUGAUUAGCUAGUUGGGUGGGUAACGGCCCCCCAGGGCGAUGAUCAGUAGCCGGUCCGAGGGGAUGAACGGCCACAGUGGGACUGGGUAACGGCCCAGGACCCUAAGGGAGGCAGCAGUGGGGAAACGUCCGAAAUGGACGAAAGUCUGACGGAGCAACGCCGCGUGAGUGAUGACGGCCUUCGGGUUGUAAAGCUCUGAUAAUCGGGACGCGGUACCGGAAGAGGAAGCCACGGCUAACUACGUGCCAGCAGCCGCGGUAAUUC